This 1365-nucleotide ribosomal RNA is filed under the name uncultured bacterium. RNAcentral's name for it is "bacterial SSU rRNA". It matches the Rfam family "Bacterial small subunit ribosomal RNA". The record is from RNAcentral.
GAGUUUGAUCCUGGCUCAGGACGAACGCUGGCGGCGUGCUUAACACAUGCAAGUCGAACGGAAAGGCCCCGCUCGCGGGGUACUCGAGUGGCGAACGGGUGAGUAACACGUGGGUGAUCUGCCCUGCACUUCGGGAUAAGCCUGGGAAACUGGGUCUAAUACCGGAUAUGACCUCCCUUUAGUGUGGGGGGUGGAAAGAUUUAUCGGUGCAGGAUGAGCCCGCGGCCUAUCAGCUUGUUGGUGGGGUAAUGGCCUACCAAGGCGUCGACGGGUAGCCGGCCUGAGAGGGUGGACGGCCACAUUGGGACUGAGAUACGGCCCAGACUCCUACGGGAGGCAGCAGUGGGGAAUAUUGCACAAUGGGCGGAAGCCUGAUGCAGCGACGCCGCGUGGGGGAUGACGGCCUUCGGGUUGUAAACCUCUUUCGACAGGGACGAAGUGAAAAUGACGGUACCUGUAUAAGAAGCACCGGCUAACUACGUGCCAGCAGCCGCGGUAAUACGUAGGGUGCGAGCGUUGUCCGGAAUUACUGGGCGUAAAGAGCUCGUAGGUGGUUUGUCACGUCGUCUGUGAAAUUCCGGGGCUUAACCUCGGGCGUGCAGGCGAUACGGGCAAUACUUGAGUGCUGUAGGGGAGACUGGAAUUCCUGGUGUAGCGGUGAAAUGCGCAGAUAUCAGGAGGAACACCAAUGGCGAAGGCAGGUCUCUGGGCAUUACUGACGCUGAGGAGCGAAAGCAUGGGUAGCGGACAGGAUUAGAUACCCUGGUAGUCCAUGCCGUAAACGGUGGGCGCUAGGUGUAGGGGACUUCCACGUUCUCUGUGCCGUAGCUAACGCAUUAAGCGCCCCGCCUGGGGAGUACGGCCGCAAGGCUAAAACUCAAAGGAAUUGACGGGGGCCCGCACAAGCGGCGGAGCAUGUGGAUUAAUUCGAUGCAACGCGAAGAACCUUACCUGGGCUUGACAUACACCGGACCGGCGUAGAGAUACGUCUUCCCUUGUGGCCGGUGUACAGGUGGUGCAUGGUUGUCGUCAGCUCGUGUCGUGAGAUGUUGGGUUAAGUCCCGCAACGAGCGCAACCCUUGUCUUAUGUUGCCAGCACGUGAUGGUGGGGACUCAUGAGAGACUGCCGGGGUCAACUCGGAGGAAGGUGGGGAUGACGUCAAAUCAUCAUGCCCCUUAUGUCCAGGGCUUCACACAUGCUACAAUGGUCGGUACAGCAGGUCGCGAACUCGUGAGAGUAAGCCAAUCCUUCAAAGCCGGCCUCAGUUCGGAUUGGGGUCUGCAACUCGACCCCAUGAAGUCGGAGUCGCUAGUAAUCGCAGAUCAGCAACGCUGCGGUGAAUACGUUCCCGGGCCUGUACACAC